RNAcentral lists this ribosomal RNA (1343 nucleotides) under uncultured bacterium. RNAcentral's name for it is "16S ribosomal RNA". It matches the Rfam family "Bacterial small subunit ribosomal RNA", at positions 28 to 1378 of the family's 1533-position model. The record is from RNAcentral.
GACGAACGCUGGCGGCGUGCUUAACACAUGCAAGUCGAACGGAAAGGCCCUGCUUUUGUGGGGUGCUCGAGUGGCGAACGGGUGAGUAACACGUGAGUAACCUGCCCUUGACUUUGGGAUAACUUCAGGAAACUGGGGCUAAUACCGGAUAGGAGCUCCUGCUGCAUGGUGGGGGUUGGAAAGUUUCGGCGGUUGGGGAUGGACUCGCGGCUUAUCAGCUUGUUGGUGGGGUAGUGGCUUACCAAGGCUUUGACGGGUAGCCGGCCUGAGAGGGUGACCGGCCACAUUGGGACUGAGAUACGGCCCAGACUCCUACGGGAGGCAGCAGUGGGGAAUAUUGCACAAUGGGCGGAAGCCUGAUGCAGCAACGCCGCGUGCGGGAUGACGGCCUUCGGGUUGUAAACCGCUUUCGCCUGUGACGAAGCGUGAGUGACGGUAAUGGGUAAAGAAGCACCGGCUAACUACGUGCCAGCAGCCGCGGUGAUACGUAGGGUGCGAGCGUUGUCCAGAUUUAUUGGGCGUAAAGGGCUCGUAGGUGGUUGAUCGCGUCGGAAGUGUAAUCUUGGGGCUUAACCCUGAGCGUGCUUUCGAUACGGGUUGACUUGAGGAAGGUAGGGGAGAAUGGAAUUCCUGGUGGAGCGGUGGAAUGCGCAGAUAUCAGGAGGAACACCAGUGGCGAAGGCGGUUCUCUGGGCCUUUCCUGACGCUGAGGAGCGAAAGCGUGGGGAGCGAACAGGCUUAGAUACCCUGGUAGUCCACGCUGUAAACGGUGGGUACUAGGUGUGGGGUCCAUUCCACGGGUUCCGUGCCGUAGCUAACGCUUUAAGUACCCCGCCUGGGGAGUACGGCCGCAAGGCUAAAACUCAAAGGAAUUGACGGGGCCCCGCACAAGCGGCGGAGCAUGCGGAUUAAUUCGAUGCAACGCGUAGAACCUUACCUGGGUUUGACAUGGAUCGGGAGUGCUCAGAGAUGGGUGUGCCUCUUUUGGGGUCGGUUCACAGGUGGUGCAUGGCUGUCGUCAGCUCGUGUCGUGAGAUGUUGGGUUAAGUCCCGCAACGAGCGCAACCCUUGUUCACUGUUGCCAGCACGUUAUGGUGGGGACUCAGUGGAGACCGCCGGGGUCAACUCGGAGGAAGGUGGGGAUGACGUCAAGUCAUCAUGCCCCUUAUGUCCAGGGCUUCACGCAUGCUACAAUGGCUGGUACAGAGAGUGGCGAGCCUGUGAGGGUGAGCGAAUCUCGGAAAGCCGGUCUCAGUUCGGAUUGGGGCCUGCAACUCGACCUCAUGAAGUCGGAGUCGCUAGUAAUCGCAGAUCAGCAACGCUGCGGUGAAUACGUUCCCGGG